GAAGCUCCGAGGAGGGCUUCAUUUUGCCCACACCGUCGUCAAAGCCGGAGUGGCCGUCGGGAUGAGUGCUGCCCAGGACAAAAAAAUUGUAC
Ipomoea nil (Japanese morning glory) is the source of this 92-nucleotide long non-coding RNA. RefSeq lists it as uncharacterized. Lineage: Eukaryota; Viridiplantae; Streptophyta; Magnoliopsida; Solanales; Convolvulaceae. The transcript has 3 exons. The record is from RefSeq and is a predicted model, not a curated record.